AUUCCAGCUCCAAUAGCGUAUAUUUAAGUUGUUGCGGUUAAAAAGCUCGUAGUUGGAUUUCGGGCGUGGAGGUUCGGUCCGCCGUUUCGGUGUGCACUGUCUUUCUGCGUCUUUCUGUCGGGGACGCGCUUCUGGCCUUAAUUGGCUGGGACGUGGAUUCGACGAGGUUACUUUGAAAAAAUUAGAGUGUUCAAAGCAAGCUAAAGCUCUGAAUACAUUAGCAUGGAAUAACGCGAGAGGACUCGGUCCUUAUUUUGUUGGUCUUCAAGGAUGGAGUAAUGAUUAAGAGGGACAGUUGGGGGCAUUCGUAUUUCAUUGCUAGAGGUGAAAUUCUUGGAUUUAUGAAAGACGAACUUCUGCGAAAGCAUUUGCCAAGGAUGUUUUCAUUA
This 389-nucleotide ribosomal RNA is filed under the name Pycnococcaceae sp. Its description in RNAcentral is "partial small subunit ribosomal RNA". It matches the Rfam family "Eukaryotic small subunit ribosomal RNA", at positions 582 to 975 of the family's 1831-position model. Lineage: Eukaryota; Viridiplantae; Chlorophyta; Pseudoscourfieldiophyceae; Pseudoscourfieldiales; Pycnococcaceae. The record is from RNAcentral.